UACGUAGGUGGCAAGCGUUAUCCGGAUUUAUUGGGUUUAAAGGGUGCGUAGGCGGUCGGAUAAGUUAGAGGUGAAAUCCCGAGGCUCAACUUCGGAAUUGCCUCUGAUACUGUUCGGCUAGAGAGUAGUUGCGGUACGCGGAAUGCGCGGUGUAGCGGUGAAAUGCAUAGAUAUCGCGCAGAACUCCGAUUGCGAAGGCAGCGUACCGGCGCCAGACUGACGCUGAGGCACGAAAGCGUGGGGAUCGAACAGG
RNAcentral lists this ribosomal RNA (253 nucleotides) under uncultured bacterium. RNAcentral's name for it is "partial 16S ribosomal RNA". It matches the Rfam family "Bacterial small subunit ribosomal RNA", at positions 524 to 776 of the family's 1533-position model. The record is from RNAcentral.